This 473-nucleotide ribosomal RNA is filed under the name Vibrio owensii. Its description in RNAcentral is "bacterial SSU rRNA". It matches the Rfam family "Bacterial small subunit ribosomal RNA", at positions 68 to 525 of the family's 1533-position model. Lineage: Bacteria; Pseudomonadati; Pseudomonadota; Gammaproteobacteria; Vibrionales; Vibrionaceae. The record is from RNAcentral.
GGGAGCUACUGACUUCGGGGGACGAUAACGGCGUCGAGCGGCGGACGGGUGAGUAAUGCCUAGGAAAUUGCCCUGAUGUGGGGGAUAACCAUUGGAAACGAUGGCUAAUACCGCAUAAUGCCUACGGGCCAAAGAGGGGGACCUUCGGGCCUCUCGCGUCAGGAUAUGCCUAGGUGGGAUUAGCUAGUUGGUGAGGUAAUGGCUCACCAAGGCGACGAUCCCUAGCUGGUCUGAGAGGAUGAUCAGCCACACUGGAACUGAGACACGGUCCAGACUCCUACGGGAGGCAGCAGUGGGGAAUAUUGCACAAUGGGCGCAAGCCUGAUGCAGCCAUGCCGCGUGUGUGAAGAAGGCCUUCGGGUUGUAAAGCACUUUCAGUCGUGAGGAAGGUGGUGUAGUUAAUAGCUGCAUUACUUGACGUUAGCGACAGAAGAAGCACCGGCUAACUCCGUGCCAGCACCGGCCGGUAAUGA